GGGUUCUUCGAGUAGAUUCAUUACACUCAAUAGCAGAAGAGAUGUAGAUUCAUUACACUCAAUUCAGGAUGUUGUUUGAAUUACUUAUCCUAACAGGUGCACAAGUUGGGAUGGAUUGGACUUCUAUCUUGAGAAAAUGCCAUGAUUUCAGGGCUGCUUUCGCCGAGUUUGAUGCAGAAAUCGUCGCCAACUUCACAGAAAGACAAAUAGCAUCAGUGGUCACAGAUUGCAACCUAGAUUUAAAUAAGGUUCGAGGCACCGUCAACAAUACUAACAGAAUCCUCCAGGUCAGGUUGUUGAUUGGACUUGAUUUUAUUUAAAUGAUCUUGAUAAUCCAUUUUAUUUAAAUGAGCAGACCCGGAUGUGCGUCGAAGGUAUCCGGAUGUUGAGCGGGGGUCCCUAGAAAGUGGGAACCAUUGUUAUGACCAUGAUGAAGCUGUCCAUUUUCUAUGGACAGCUUUGGAGGGGCCUGGCCAUUAGGACAGGCUGUAUUUAUGUAUUUGCUCAAAAUUAAUGGAGCAGACCUGGAUGUGCGUCGGAGCUAUCCAGAUGGGCGAGGGUCCAUGGAAGGUGGGAACCGCUGUUAUGACCAUGAUGAAGCUGUCAAUUUCCUAUGGACAGCAUUGGAGGGGCCUGACCAUUUAGACAGGCUGUGUUUAUGUAUUUGCUCGAAAUUAAUGGAGCAAACCCGAAUGUGUGUCGGAGCUAUCCGGAUGAGUGGGGGUCCCUGUAAGGUGGGAACCACUGUUAUGACCAUGAUGAAGCUGUCCAUUUCCUAUGGACAACAUUGGAGGGGCCUAGACAUUUGGACAAGCCGUGAUUAUAUCUGUAUUUACAUGGAC
Molecule: long non-coding RNA, 842 nt
Organism: Magnolia sinica
Lineage: Eukaryota; Viridiplantae; Streptophyta; Magnoliopsida; Magnoliales; Magnoliaceae
Exons: 3
Source: RefSeq, a predicted model, not a curated record